RNAcentral lists this small RNA (466 nucleotides) under Arabidopsis thaliana (thale cress). RNAcentral describes it as "ncRNA (AT3G48115)". The record is from RNAcentral. Lineage: Eukaryota; Viridiplantae; Streptophyta; Magnoliopsida; Brassicales; Brassicaceae.
AAAUUAGAGAUCAAGGGUUUAUAAUCUCAAAACAUCUAUUGAAUGUGGGCACAUGAAGGCAAUUCCUAUGUUGCAAUAUGUAAAGGAAAGAAGAUUUUCUUGUGUCGCUUAUCAUGGUCCCUUAAGCUGUUACUUUAAUUGGAGCUUCGAUGCUUUCAAUUCGGUGCAAAACAUAAGAGUCUUCGUUCGAUUCCUUAUCGGCGAGGAUUUCUUACCGGAAUCGGCGCUCAACGGUGGAGGUUGUUGCCGGAAAAACUUGUGAUUACUCAUCAGGCGUGGGACGUGGUUUAACCGGUUGUCGACACGUUUCCAUGGAUGGAGUUUAGAUUGAAAUUCUUCUACAGAAGUCGGUUAUCUAUUUGGUCUUUGUUGGCUAUUUCUGUAAACCUGCUGUUUGGGCUUUUGUUAAAGCCUAUGUAUGAUAUUGUGAAAGCUUAAUAAAUUCUAUCACUUGUGAGAAAAAAAA